This 513-nucleotide ribosomal RNA is filed under the name uncultured bacterium. Its description in RNAcentral is "partial 16S ribosomal RNA". It matches the Rfam family "Bacterial small subunit ribosomal RNA", at positions 28 to 523 of the family's 1533-position model. The record is from RNAcentral.
GACGAACGCUGGCGGCGUGCCUAAUACAUGCAAGUUGAGCGCUGAAGGUUGGUACUUGUACCGACUGGAUGAGCAGCGAACGGGUGAGUAACGCGUGGGGAAUCUGCCUUUGAGCGGGGGACAACAUUUGGAAACGAAUGCUAAUACCGCAUAAAAACUUUAAACACAAGUUUUAAGUUUGAAAGAUGCAAUUGCAUCACUCAAAGAUGAUCCCGCGUUGUAUUAGCUAGUUGGUGAGGUAAAGGCUCACCAAGGCGAUGAUACAUAGCCGACCUGAGAGGGUGAUCGGCCACAUUGGGACUGAGACACGGCCCAAACUCCUACGGGAGGCAGCAGUAGGGAAUCUUCGGCAAUGGACGAAAGUCUGACCGAGCAACGCCGCGUGAGUGAAGAAGGUUCUCGGAUCGUAAAACUCUGUUGGUAGAGAAGAACGUUGGUGAGAGUGGAAAGCUCAUCAAGUGACGGUAACUACCCAGAAAGGGACGGCUAACUACGUGCCAGCAGCCGCGGUAA